GACGAACGCUGGCGGCGUGCUUAACACAUGCAAGUCGAACGCUGAAGCUCAGCUUUUGUUGGGUGGAUGAGUGGCGAACGGGUGAGUAACACGUGAGUAACCUGCCUCCUUCUUUGGGAUAACGCCCGGAAACGGGUGCUAAUACUGGAUAUUCACUGGUCUUCGCAUGGGGGUUGGUGGAAAGGGUUUUUCUGGUGGGGGAUGGACUCGCGGCCUAUCAGCUUGUUGGUGGGGUGAUGGCCUACCAAGGCUUUGACGGGUAGCCGGCCUGAGAGGGUGACCGGUCACAUUGGGACUGAGAUACGGCCCAGACUCCUACGGGAGGCAGCAGUGGGGAAUAUUGCACAAUGGGCGCAAGCCUGAUGCAGCGACGCCGCGUGAGGGAUGGAGGCCUUCGGGUUGUGAACCUCUUUCGCUCAUGGUCAAGCCGCAACAAUGGUUGUGGUGAGGGUAGUGGGUAAAGAAGCGCCGGCUAACUACGUG
RNAcentral lists this ribosomal RNA (483 nucleotides) under uncultured bacterium. Its description in RNAcentral is "partial 16S ribosomal RNA". It matches the Rfam family "Bacterial small subunit ribosomal RNA", at positions 28 to 507 of the family's 1533-position model. The record is from RNAcentral.